Molecule: ribosomal RNA, 515 nt
Filed under: uncultured bacterium
Lineage: Bacteria
Description: bacterial SSU rRNA
Rfam family: Bacterial small subunit ribosomal RNA
Source: RNAcentral
GAGUUUGAUCGUGGCUCAGAUUGAACGCUGGCGGCAGGCCUAACACAUGCAAGUCGAGCGGUAGAGAGAAGCUUGCUUCUCUUGAGAGCGGCGGACGGGUGAGUAAUGCCUAGGAAUCUGCCUGGUAGUGGGGGAUAACGCUCGGAAACGGACGCUAAUACCGCAUACGUCCUACGGGAGAAAGCAGGGGACCUUCGGGCCUUGCGCUAUCAGAUGAGCCUAGGUCGGAUUAGCUAGUUGGUGAGGUAAUGGCUCACCAAGGCGACGAUCCGUAACUGGUCUGAGAGGAUGAUCAGUCACACUGGAACUGAGACACGGUCCAGACUCCUACGGGAGGCAGCAGUGGGGAAUAUUGGACAAUGGGCGAAAGCCUGAUCCAGCCAUGCCGCGUGUGUGAAGAAGGUCUUCGGAUUGUAAAGCACUUUAAGUUGGGAGGAAGGGCAGUAAAUUAAUACUUUAGCUGUUUUGACGUUACCGACAGAAUAAAGCACCGGCUAACUCUGUGCCAGCCGCCG